This 226-nucleotide long non-coding RNA is filed under the name Elaeis guineensis (African oil palm). RNAcentral describes it as "long non-coding RNA (EGUI_LNC061129)". The record is from RNAcentral. Lineage: Eukaryota; Viridiplantae; Streptophyta; Magnoliopsida; Arecales; Arecaceae.
ACUCCUGACACAAACUUUGGCUGGGGGGGAUUUUAUACCCAAUACCAAUCCCCCUACUUCCGAGUUUGAGUUUCGAACGAAGGAAGUACAGAAAAAUUUUCACAGCCGAAGUCGUUUCCUUGAAUUCUGUACACGACCCCCCUUAAAAAUCUUAGCAUUCAAUGCGCGCGUGCUGGAGUCUUUUUCUGAUUAGGGUGAUCCAAAGAGUCCUUUCGAAAUUCCCACC